UUGACAUUUCACUUUUUCAGUAAUGAUGGCGCACUUGCGAAAGGUGUUUAGUUUACUGUAACUUUUAUUUUUAUGUAGUGCCGUGAAGUGAAAACCAAGUGAUUUUAAUGCCGUACCGCAGGCGCUUCUCAGCCAAGAUGCCAGAUUUCGACGACGAAGUGACUGUCGUCGAUGUUUACGACCUGGCAUCGGACAUUGGCAAGGAAUGCGAGAUAAUUAUUGAAAAAUACGGCCCUGACGCCGUUACAGCGCUGCUGCCGAAGGUGAUUAAUGCGCUGGAGUUGCUGGAGAACUUGGCGGUGCGCAACGAGAAGGAGAAUCAAGCGCUGCAGGAGUUGACGGCUAAGAUUUCACAGUUGGAGAAUGAUAAAAUUGAGAAGGCUGAAUACAGGCAGCGCUUCGAGAAGGAAAUAGAAGCAAUCGAAGAACAAUGGCGGACGGAAUCAGCAGAGUUGGUGACCGCUGUGGCGAGGCUGCAGGACGAGAACAAACGUCUACGGCGGACCAUCAAUGCUCCUGCAGAUGGUUCAAGCGCACCGCCAUCCCCAGCUCGGGAACACGACCAGGAAGUCCUGUCUCGGCUGAGCAGCACUGCGGAGAAGCAGCGAGCGACGUUACGUCAUCAGGAGUUACAACUGCAAGAGAAGCAGCAGCUGAUUGACAGUUUGACGAAUCAAGUGGAGAAAUUGGCACAAGUCAGCCGGGAUCUACGGCGGAAGCAUAAGCAAAUACAGAAUCAGAUGCGCCUAGUCUGCGAGGAGCGAUCGGAGCUGACGGCAAUAGUGCAGUCACAACAGAGGGACAUCGCCGCGCUGCAGCAGGAUAGUGCACAGAACAAGAAGUGCCCAACAUGCGGCGUGGCGACCCCAGACGGCGGCGACGACGACGACCAGUCCUCGAAGCCCACGUUCAGCGUGCGCGAGCUGCGCGCCAUCCUGCACGAGCGCAACGAGCUCAAGCUGAAGCUCAGCCGCGCCGAGGAACAGCUCAGCGCUCUACAGGCUGACCAGCAACAUGAUAGUGGAUCAGACACAUCACCAUCAGUGAGCACGGCGCACCCUGAAGAGGAAGAGCCUCCAGUCCAAGGUCCGCUGCCGGCAGAACCUGACGACGCGCCAUGGAAGAGGAACAGCGGCAUCAGGAAGUUGUUCCGUCUGGCUCUUUCAUCGCGCAGUGAAGGCCGCCGCUCCCCGCCGCCGAGAAUCUCUUUCGGCCCUUGGUAUUGAAGAAAUCUGCGGUACGUUUACAUGUAGGGGGCGCUUUGAACGUUUAUGGCAUGUGGGGGUUUAGCAGUCUGAAAAUAUAUUGAUUGAAGCUUUGUUCUAGUUUUUAGUUGAAAGUUUUCGCAAGCUCUUUGUUGAGUCUGAUCUCACCGUGGGCGGAUUCCAGCGUCGCUCGCUAUCCACGCUGCGGGGCGGGGCAGGGGGCCCGUCCCCCGCGCCCCCCGCGCACCCCGCAGGUGCCUCCGCCCCCGCGUAGACACUCCAU
This is an RNA transcript of Spodoptera frugiperda (fall armyworm), 1488 nucleotides long. It is a transcript of the gene named RILP-like protein homolog, with no coding region annotated. The record is from RefSeq and is a predicted model, not a curated record. The transcript is spliced from 9 exons. NCBI's taxonomy places the organism in Eukaryota, Metazoa, Arthropoda, Insecta, Lepidoptera, Noctuidae.